RNAcentral lists this ribosomal RNA (1439 nucleotides) under uncultured prokaryote. Its description in RNAcentral is "partial 16S ribosomal RNA". It matches the Rfam family "Bacterial small subunit ribosomal RNA". The record is from RNAcentral.
AUGAACGCUAGCGGCAGGCUUAACACAUGCAAGUCGAGGGGUAAGGCUCUUUCGGGAGUACACGACCGGCGCACGGGUGAGUAACGCGUAUGCAACCUACCUCUAACAGGGGAAUAGCCCGAAGAAAUUCGGAUUAACACCGCAUAAUAUCAUAUUAUCGCAUGGUAAUAUGAUAAAAACUCAGGUGGUUAGAGAUGGGCAUGCGUGACAUUAGAUUGUUGGUAAGGUAACGGCUUACCAAGUCUACGAUGUCUAGGGGGUCUGAGAGGAUGGUCCCCCACACUGGUACUGAGACACGGACCAGACUCCUACGGGAGGCAGCAGUGAGGAAUAUUGGGCAAUGGACGCAAGUCUGACCCAGCCAUGCCGCGUGCAGGAUGACUGCCCUAUGGGUUGUAAACUGCUUUUAUAUGGGAAGAAACCCUUCUACGUGUAGAAGGCUGACUGUACUUUACGAAUAAGCACCGGCUAACUCCGUGCCAGCAGCCGCGGUAAUACGAAGGGUGCAAGCGUUAUCCGGAUUUAUUGGGUUUAAAGGGUGCGUAGGCGGGCCUUUAAGUCAGUGGUGAAAUCCUGCAGCUUAACUGUAGAACUGCCAUUGAUACUGAAGGCCUUGAGUAUAGUUGAGGUAGGCGGAAUGUAGCAUGUAGCGGUGAAAUGCAUAGAUAUGAUACAGAACACCAAUUGCGAAGGCAGCUUACAAAACCAUUAUUGACGCUGAUGUACGAAAGCGUGGGUAGCGAACAGGAUUAGAUACCCGAGUAGUCCACGCCGUAAACGAUGAUUACUCGUUGUGUGCGAUACGCUGCACGCGACCGAGCGAAAGCAUUAAGUACUCCACCUGGGGAGUACGUUCGCAAGAAUAAAACUCAAAGGAAUUGACGGGGGCCCGCACAAGCGGUGGAGCAUGUGGUUUAAUUCGACGAUACGCGAGGAACCUUACCUGGGCUUAAAUGUAGAGUGACAACCCCCGAAAGGGGGCUUUCUUCGGACACUUUACAAGGUGCUGCAUGGUUGUCGUCAGCUCGUGCCGUGAGGUGUCGGGUUAAGUCCCAUAACGAGCGCAACCCCUACUCUUAGUUGCCAGCAUGUAAUGCUGGGGACUCUAAGGGAACUGCCUACGCAAGUAGAGAGGAAGGUGGGGAUGACGUCAAAUCAGCACGGCCCUUACGUCCAGGGCUACACACGUGCUACAAUGGCCGGUACAGAGGGCAGCCACCACGUGAGUGGGAGCGAAUCUCCAAAGCCGGUCUCAGUUCGGAUCGAAGUCUGCAACUCGACUUCGUGAAGCUGGAAUCGCUAGUAAUCGCGCAUCAGCCAUGGCGCGGUGAAUACGUUCCCGGGCCUUGUACACACCGCCCGUCAAGCCAUGGAAGCUGGGAGUACCUGAAGUCGGUAACCGUAAGGAGCCGCCUAGGGUAAAACUAGUGACUGGGGCU